CAUCCUCAAAAAUGGUUUGGCCCACUGAUUGAGUGGCCACGUUACAAGAUGAUGUCUGAAGAUGUGUGGAUAGUGGCCCAGAGGAGAGCACAUUUCUUUCUAAAGAAAGAUGUGGCCGGUCUGCAGCAGUGUGUAUUGUGUUGUGAAGCGCUGCACACUCUCUCCGGUCAGGUUCUUCAUGG
Molecule: long non-coding RNA, 182 nt
Organism: Ictalurus punctatus (channel catfish)
Lineage: Eukaryota; Metazoa; Chordata; Actinopteri; Siluriformes; Ictaluridae
Exons: 2
Source: RefSeq, a predicted model, not a curated record